GUCCCCGCCGCAUCUCCCCUGUCCAGCUGGGCGGGGACUGCUGUACGACUCUGUAAAGUCUGUGAGUCACUGCACAACCCAUCAAUCCAAUUAAAUGUCUUGAGCGAGCUGAGCAGGCGGUGCUGCCGCCCGCUGCCGCUCGCCCCGCCGCGGCAGCCCCUGCUCGUAGCGCCCCUCUGAUCCAUGGCUGUCUGUCUGUACUUGUUACGGUGUAACAUCUUCCUCCUCCUCCUUCUCCUCCUUCUCCUCCUCCUCCUAGGGAGCCGCUGCAACUUCCCCUCAGCCAGCCUCCUCCUCUGCUUGGGGACUGCAAAGGCAUGGGAUAGACCCAAAGCCACUUCUCUCUGUCUCCCCACCAGCCCUUGCUCAGUUUUGCUCCUUUAAAUUAAAGUCCGUUCCUCGCUCCUCAUCGUUUUAGAGAUUUAUUUGUCAGACUAUUAUUUCCCCUGGUUUUUCUUUUUCCUCGGCGGGGGCAAGGGUCGUAGGGGCCGGUGGGUUUAUGUUAGGGAGGGGCGCUCCCUCACCCCACCCCCUCGGUUUUUCCUCCUCCCUUUUCGACCGUGACUUGAUUUCCCUGCUCCUUUCCGUUCCCACCCGUCGAACUCACCGUCCUGCACUCGAGUGACGCACCGACACCCCCCCCCCCAGCCCACAGCCCAGACGUCCCCUCCCUCGCUGCCACCCCGACCCGUCUCGGAGCUGGACCGGGUGCAGACUUUGCAAAAGGGUGAGUACCAUGUAGGUUUUCUUUGGUGGGGGUGGGGGAUGUGAGAUCCAAACGCGGUAGCCGGUCCGCUCUUGGGGAGGGCAGGGAUCAGGUUGUGGGCUGGAGAUUCCUGGUCCGGCGUGGAUUUGAGGUGGCGACUCCCUCCCUCCCUUGCUCCCUCUUCCCCCGCCCCUCGACUCCUUAUUCACCAGCCUUGCUGUAUUUCUAGGUAUUGCCAGACUUCCACCAUCGGGGCAUUAUAACGCUUAUACAAUAAUUGGUGAUGGCAUGCUUUCUGUCUUUUGGAUGCCUAGUGAGCAGUAAUAGCGAUGUGAUCCGAUAGACUCUGUGACCUGCAAAAAGUGUAAAAUGGCUAAUGGGUACAUUUUCCUGUAAAUCAAAGUUAACUUUUGUUCAGUAAAGGCAAAGCAGAAGGUAUUAUUCAUUUGAAUGUGUG
Molecule: long non-coding RNA, 1163 nt
Filed under: Marmota monax (woodchuck)
Lineage: Eukaryota; Metazoa; Chordata; Mammalia; Rodentia; Sciuridae
Source: RNAcentral